UACGAAGGGGGCUAGCGUUGUUCGGAAUUACUGGGCGUAAAGCGCGCGCAGGUGGUCUUUCAAGUCAGUGGUGAAAGCCCGGAGCUCAAACUCCGGAAAUGCCAUUGAAACUGUAAGACUUGAGGAUGAGAGAGGUGAGUGGAAUUCCCAGUGUAGAGGUGAAAUUCGUAGAUAUUCGCAAGAACACCAGUGGCGAAGGCGGCUCACUGGCCCGGUACUGACGCUGAGGUGCGAAAGCGUGGGGAGCAAACAGG
This 254-nucleotide ribosomal RNA is filed under the name uncultured bacterium. Its description in RNAcentral is "partial 16S ribosomal RNA". It matches the Rfam family "Bacterial small subunit ribosomal RNA", at positions 524 to 776 of the family's 1533-position model. The record is from RNAcentral.